UAGGGGUACAGAUAUUGUUCAGAAUUGGA
RNAcentral lists this non-coding RNA (29 nucleotides) under Rattus norvegicus (Norway rat). The record is from RNAcentral. Lineage: Eukaryota; Metazoa; Chordata; Mammalia; Rodentia; Muridae.